UAGAAUUAUUACCUCUUUACCUUCAGUGUCGCUUUUCCUUUUUCUGCAAGAGCCUGUUUUUAAUUAGAGAUCCAUGAUGAUUAUUGUUACUAGGUUAAUGUAAUCGAGAAACAUCACCCGUUGAGAUCCUGAGUUAUAUCCAGGAAGAAUAGUUUAAAAGGAAAGAUGAAAAGUUAUAGAAAUUAAGGUUGAGACAGAACAACAC
This 205-nucleotide long non-coding RNA is filed under the name Mytilus galloprovincialis (Mediterranean mussel). Lineage: Eukaryota; Metazoa; Mollusca; Bivalvia; Mytilida; Mytilidae. The record is from RNAcentral.